RNAcentral lists this ribosomal RNA (233 nucleotides) under uncultured bacterium. RNAcentral's name for it is "partial 16S ribosomal RNA". It matches the Rfam family "Bacterial small subunit ribosomal RNA", at positions 15 to 225 of the family's 1533-position model. The record is from RNAcentral.
GAUCAUGGCUCAGGACGAACGCUGGCGGCGUGCUUAACACAUGCAAGUCGAAUGAGACGAUUUAGAAGCUUGCUUUUAUUGAGUCGAGUGGCAAACGGGUGAGUAACGCGUAGACAACCUGCCGCAAAGAUGGGGACAACAGUCCGAAAGGACUGCUAAUACCGAAUGUUGUAUCUUCUCCGCACGGAAGAGAUAUUAAAGAUGGCCUCUACUUGUAAGCUAUCGCUUUGCGA